AGAGUUUGAUCAUGGCUCAGAACGUACGCUGGCGGCACGCCUAACACAUGCAAGUCGAACGAAGUAGCAAUACUUAGUGGCAGACGGGUGAGUAACAUGUAGGUAUCUGCCCUUUGGCCUGGAAUAACACGAGGAAACUUGUGCUAAUACCGGAUAAGUCUUUACGGAGAAAGCUUUAUGCACCAUUGGAUGAGCCUGCACUUGAUUAGUUUGUUGGUGGGGUAAUGGCCUACCAAGACUGUGAUCAAUAGCUGAUUUGAGAGGAUGAUCAGCCACAUUGGGACUGAGACACGGCCCAAACUCCUACGGGAGGCAGCAGUGGGGAAUCUUGCACAAUGGAGGAAACUCUGAUGCAGCGAUGCCGCGUGAGUGAAGAAGGCCCUUGGGUUGUAAAGCUCCUUCGUCGGGGAAGAAAAUGACUGUACCCGAAUAAGAAGGUCCGGCUAACUUCGUGCCAGCAGCCGCGGUAAUACGAAGGGACCUAGCGUAGUUCGGAAUUACUGGGCUUAAAGAGUUCGUAGGUGGUUGAAAAAGUUGGUGGUGAAAUCCCAGAGCUUAACUCUGGAACUGCCAUCAAAACUUUUCAGCUAGAGUAUGAUAGAGGAAAGCAGAAUUUCUAGUGUAGAGGUGAAAUUCGUAGAUAUUAGAAAGAAUACCAAUUGCGAAGGCAGCUUUCUGGAUCAUUACUGACACUGAGGAACGAAAGCAUAGGUAGCGAAGAGGAUUAGAUACCCUCGUAGUCCAUGCCGUAAACGAUGUGUGUUAGACGUUGGAAAUUUAUUUUCAGUGUCGCAGCGAAAGCGAUAAACACACCGCCUGGGGAGUACGACCGCAAGGUUAAAACUCAAAUGAAUUGACGGGGACCCGCACAAGUAGUGGAGCAUGUGGUUUAAUUCGAAGAUACGCGCAGAACCUUACCAACACUUGACAUGUUCGUCGCGACUUUAAGAGAUUAAAGUUUUCGGUUCGGCCGGACGAAACACAGGUGCUGCAUGGCUGUCGUCAGCUCGUGUCGUGAGAUGUUGGGUUAAGUCCCGCAACGAGCGCAACCCUCACUUUUAGUUGCCAUCAUUAAGUUGGGCACUCUGAAAGAACUGCCAGUGAUAAGCUGGAGGAAGGUGGGGAUGACGUCAAGUCCUCAUGGCCCUUACGUGUUGGGCUACACACGUGCUACAAUGGUAUCUACAACAGGAAGCAAAACCGCGAGGUUAAGCAAAUCCUUAAAAGAUACCUCAGUUCGGAUUGCACUCUGCAACUCGAGUGCAUGAAGCUGGAAUUACUAGUAAUCGUGGAUCAGCGUGCCACGGUGAAUGCGUUCCCGGGUCUUGUAGA
Molecule: ribosomal RNA, 1332 nt
Filed under: uncultured bacterium
Lineage: Bacteria
Description: bacterial SSU rRNA
Rfam family: Bacterial small subunit ribosomal RNA
Source: RNAcentral